GACGAACGCUGGCGGCGUGCUUAACACAUGCAAGUCGAACGGAAAGGCCCUGCUUUUGUGGGGUGCUCGAGUGGCGAACGGGUGAGUAACACGUGAGUAACCUGCCCUUGACUUUGGGAUAACUUCAGGAAACUGGGGCUAAUACCGGAUAGGAGCUCCUGCUGCAUGGUGGGGGUUGGAAAGUUUCGGCGGUUGGGGAUGGACUCGCGGCUUAUCAGCUUGUUGGUGGGGUAGUGGCUUACCAAGGCUUUGACGGGUAGCCGGCCUGAGGGGGUGACCGGCCACAUUGGGACUGAGAUACGGCCCAGACUCCUACGGGAGGCAGCAGUGGGGAAUAUUGCACAAUGGGCGGAAGCCUGAUGCAACAACGCCGCGUGCGGGAUGACGGCCUUCGGGUUGUAAACCGCUUUCGCCUGUGACGAAGCGUGAGUGACGGUAAUGGGUAAAGAAGCACCGGCUAACUACGUGCCAGCAGCCGCGGUGAUACGUAGGGUGCGAGCGUUGUCCAGAUUUAUUGGGCGUAAAGGGCUCGUAGGUGGUUGAUCGCGUCGGAAGUGUAAUCUUGGGGCUUAACCCUGAGCGUGCUUUCGAUACGGGUUGACUUGAGGAAGGUAGGGGAGAAUGGAAUUCCUGGUGGAGCGGUGGAAUGCGCAGAUAUCAGGAGGAACACCAGUGGCGAAGGCGGUUCUCUGGGCCUUCCCUGACGCUGAGGAGCGAAAGCGUGGGGAGCGAACAGGCUUAGAUACCCUGGUAGUCCACGCUGUAAACGGUGGGUACUAGGUGUGGGGUCCAUUCCACGGGUUCCGUGCCGUAGCUAACGCUUUAAGUACCCCGCCUGGGGAGUACGGCCGCAAGGCUAAAACUCAAAGGAAUUGACGGGGCCCCGCACAAGCGGCGGAGCAUGCGGAUUAAUUCGAUGCAACGCGUAGAACCUUACCUGGGUUUGACAUGGAUCGGGAGUGCUCAGAGAUGGGUGUGCCUCUUUUGGGGUCGGUUCACAGGUGGUGCAUGGCUGUCGUCAGCUCGUGUCGUGAGAUGUUGGGUUAAGUCCCGCAACGAGCGCAACCCUUGUUCACUGUUGCCAGCACGUUAUGGUGGGGACUCAGUGGAGACCGCCGGGGUCAACUCGGAGGAAGGUGGGGAUGACGUCAAGUCAUCAUGCCCCUUAUGUCCAGGGCUUCACGCAUGCUACAAUGGCUGGUACAGAGAGUGGCGAGCCUGUGAGGGUGAGCGAAUCUCGGAAAGCCGGUCUCAGUUCGGAUUGGGGUCUGCAACUCGACCUCAUGAAGUCGGAGUCGCUAGUAAUCGCAGAUCAGCAACGCUGCGGUGAAUACGUUCCCGGG
RNAcentral lists this ribosomal RNA (1343 nucleotides) under uncultured bacterium. RNAcentral describes it as "16S ribosomal RNA". It matches the Rfam family "Bacterial small subunit ribosomal RNA", at positions 28 to 1378 of the family's 1533-position model. The record is from RNAcentral.